RNAcentral lists this ribosomal RNA (254 nucleotides) under uncultured bacterium. Its description in RNAcentral is "partial 16S ribosomal RNA". It matches the Rfam family "Bacterial small subunit ribosomal RNA", at positions 524 to 777 of the family's 1533-position model. The record is from RNAcentral.
UACGAAGGGGGCUAGCGUUGCUCGGAAUCACUGGGCGUAAAGCGCACGUAGGCGGAUUGUUAAGUCAGGGGUGAAAUCCUGGAGCUCAACUCCAGAACUGCCUUUGAUACUGGCAAUCUCGAGUCCGGGAGAGGUGAGUGGAACUCCGAGUGUAGAGGUGAAAUUCGUAGAUAUUCGGAAGAACACCAGUGGCGAAGGCGGCUCACUGGCCCGGUACUGACGCUGAGGUGCGAAAGCGUGGGGAGCAAACAGGG